RNAcentral lists this ribosomal RNA (440 nucleotides) under uncultured bacterium. RNAcentral's name for it is "partial 16S ribosomal RNA". It matches the Rfam family "Bacterial small subunit ribosomal RNA", at positions 338 to 795 of the family's 1533-position model. The record is from RNAcentral.
CCUACGGGUGGCAGCAGUGGGGAAUAUUGGACAAUGGGGGGAACCCUGAUCCAGCGACGCCGCGUGAGUGAAGAAGUAUUUCGGUAUGUAAAGCUCUAUUAGCAGGGAAGAAAAUGACGGUACCUGACUAAGAAGCCCCGGCGAACUACGUGCCAGCAGCCGCGGUAAUACGUAGGGGGCAAGCGUUAUCCGGAUGUACUGGGUGUAAAGGGGGCGCAGGCGGCAAUGCAAGCUAGGAGUGAAAGCCCGGGGCCCAACCCGGGGACUGCCCUUGGAACUGCAUGGCGGGAGUGAAGGAGGGGCAGGCGGAAUUCCGAGUGUAGCGGUGAAAUGCGUAGAUAUUAGGAGGAACACCGGUGGCGAAGGCGGCCUGCUGGACCGUGACUGACGUUGAGGCCCGAAGGCGUGGGGAGCAAACAGGAUUAGAUACCCUUGUAGUC